This 376-nucleotide ribosomal RNA is filed under the name uncultured bacterium. Its description in RNAcentral is "bacterial SSU rRNA". It matches the Rfam family "Bacterial small subunit ribosomal RNA", at positions 28 to 404 of the family's 1533-position model. The record is from RNAcentral.
GACGAACGCUGGCGGCGUGCUUAACACAUGCAAGUCGAGCGGUAAGGCCCUUUCGGGGGUACACGAGCGGCGAACGGGUGAGUAACACGUGGGUGACCUGCCCUCAGCUCUGGGAUAAGCCUGGGAAACCGGGUCUAAUACUGGAUAUGACUCCAUGACGCAUGUUGUGGGGUGGAAAGCCUUGUGCGGCUGAGGAUGGGCCCGCGGCCUAUCAGCUUGUUGGUGGGGGUGANGGCCUACCAAGGCGACGACGGGUAGCCGGCCUGAGAGGGCGACCGGCCACACUGGGACUGAGACACGGCCCAGACUCCUACGGGAGGCAGCAGUGGGGAAUCUUGCGCAAUGGGCGAAAGCCUGACGCAGCGACGCCGCGUGA